CUGAAACCGUGUACGUACAAGCAGUGGGAGCACCCUUUGGGGUGUGACUGCGUACCUUUUGUAUAAUGGGUCAGCGACUUAUAUUCUGUAGCAAGGUUAACCGUAUAGGGGAGCCGGAGGGAAACCGAGUCUUAACCGGGCGUUAAGUUGCAGGGUAUAGACCCGAAACCCGGUGAUCUAGCCAUGGGCAGGUUGAAGGUUGGGUAACACUAACUGGAGGACCGAACCGACUAAUGUUGAAAAAUUAGCGGAUGACCUGUGGCUGGGGGUGAAAGGCCAAUCAAACCGGGAGAUAGCUGGUUCUCCCCGAAAGCUAUUUAGGUAGCGCCUCGUGAAUUCAUCUCCGGGGGUAGAGCACUGUUUCGGCUAGGGGGCCAUCCCGGCUUACCAACCCGAUGCAAACUGCGAAUACCGGAGAAUGUUAUCACGGGAGACACACGGCGGGUGCUAACGUCCGUCGUGAAGAGGGAAACAACCCAGACCGCCAGCUAAGGUCCCAAAGUCAUGGUUAAGUGGGAAACGAUGUGGGAAGGCCCAGACAGCCAGGAUGUUGGCUUAGAAGCAGCCAUCAUUUAAAGAAAGCGUAAUAGCUCACUGGUCGAGUCGGCCUGCGCGGAAGAUGUAACGGGGCUAAACCAUGCACCGAAGCUGCGGCAGCGACACUCAGGUGUUGUUGGGUAGGGGAGCGUUCUGUAAGCCUGCGAAGGUGGCCUGUGAGGGUUGCUGGAGGUAUCAGAAGUGCGAAUGCUGACAUAAGUAACGAUAAAGCGGGUGAAAAGCCCGCUCGCCGGAAGACCAAGGGUUCCUGUCCAACGUUAAUCGGGGCAGGGUGAGUCGACCCCUAAGGCGAGGCCGAAAGGCGUAGUCGAUGGGAAACGGGUUAAUAUUCCCGUACUUGGUGUUACUGCGAAGGGGGGACGGAGAAGGCUAUGUUGGCCGGGCGACGGUUGUCCCGGUUUAAGCGUGUAGGUGUGUGUUCCAGGUAAAUCCGGUUCACUUUAACACUGAGGCGUGACGACGAGGCACUACGGUGCUGAAGCAACAAAUGCCCUGCUUCCAGGAAAAGCCUCUAAGCAUCAGGUAACAUCAAAUCGUACCCCAAACCGACACAGGUGGUCAGGUAGAGAAUACCAAGGCGCUUGAGAGAACUCGGGUGAAGGAACUAGGCAAAAUGGUGCCGUAACUUCGGGAGAAGGCACGCUGACAUGUAGGUGAAGUGAUUUACUCAUGGAGCUGAAGUCAGUCGAAGAUACCAGCUGGCUGCAACUGUUUAUUAAAAACACAGCACUGUGCAAACACGAAAGUGGACGUAUACGGUGUGACGCCUGCCCGGUGCCGGAAGGUUAAUUGAUGGGGUCAGCGCAAGCGAAGCUCCUGAUCGAAGCCCCGGUAAACGGCGGCCGUAACUAUAACGGUCCUAAGGUAGCGAAAUUCCUUGUCGGGUAAGUUCCGACCUGCACGAAUGGCGUAAUGAUGGCCAGGCUGUCUCCACCCGAGACUCAGUGAAAUUGAACUCGCUGUGAAGAUGCAGUGUACCCGCGGCAAGACGGAAAGACCCCGUGAACCUUUACUAUAGCUUGACACUGAACAUUGAGCCUUGAUGUGUAGGAUAGGUGGGAGGCUUUGAAGUGUGG
Molecule: ribosomal RNA, 1634 nt
Filed under: Salmonella enterica subsp. enterica serovar Panama
Lineage: Bacteria; Pseudomonadati; Pseudomonadota; Gammaproteobacteria; Enterobacterales; Enterobacteriaceae
Description: partial 23S ribosomal RNA
Rfam family: Bacterial large subunit ribosomal RNA
Source: RNAcentral